This 2417-nucleotide ribosomal RNA is filed under the name Klebsiella pneumoniae. RNAcentral describes it as "partial 23S ribosomal RNA". It matches the Rfam family "Bacterial large subunit ribosomal RNA", at positions 419 to 2823 of the family's 2925-position model. Lineage: Bacteria; Pseudomonadati; Pseudomonadota; Gammaproteobacteria; Enterobacterales; Enterobacteriaceae. The record is from RNAcentral.
GGGACACGUGGUAUCCUGUCUGAAUAUGGGGGGACCAUCCUCCAAGGCUAAAUACUCCUGACUGACCGAUAGUGAACCAGUACCGUGAGGGAAAGGCGAAAAGAACCCCGGCGAGGGGAGUGAAAAAGAACCUGAAACCGUGUACGUACAAGCAGUGGGAGCACCUUCGGGUGUGACUGCGUACCUUUUGUAUAAUGGGUCAGCGACUUAUAUUCUGUAGCAAGGUUAACCGUAUAGGGGAGCCGCAGGGAAACCGAGUCUUAACUGGGCGUUAAGUUGCAGGGUAUAGACCCGAAACCCGGUGAUCUAGCCAUGGGCAGGUUGAAGGUUGGGUAACACUAACUGGAGGACCGAACCGACUAAUGUUGAAAAAUUAGCGGAUGACUUGUGGCUGGGGGUGAAAGGCCAAUCAAACCGGGAGAUAGCUGGUUCUCCCCGAAAGCUAUUUAGGUAGCGCCUCGUGAAUUCAUCUUCGGGGGUAGAGCACUGUUUCGGCUAGGGGGUCAUCCCGACUUACCAACCCGAUGCAAACUACGAAUACCGAAGAAUGUUAUCACGGGAGACACACGGCGGGUGCUAACGUCCGUCGUGAAGAGGGAAACAACCCAGACCGCCAGCUAAGGUCCCAAAGUCAUGGUUAAGUGGGAAACGAUGUGGGAAGGCACAGACAGCCAGGAUGUUGGCUUAGAAGCAGCCAUCAUUUAAAGAAAGCGUAAUAGCUCACUGGUCGAGUCGGCCUGCGCGGAAGAUGUAACGGGGCUAAACCAUGCACCGAAGCUGCGGCAGCGACACUAUGUGUUGUUGGGUAGGGGAGCGUUCUGUAAGCCUGCGAAGGUGACCUGUGAGGGUUGCUGGAGGUAUCAGAAGUGCGAAUGCUGACAUAAGUAACGAUAAAGCGGGUGAAAAGCCCGCUCGCCGGAAGACCAAGGGUUCCUGUCCAACGUUAAUCGGGGCAGGGUGAGUCGACCCCUAAGGCGAGGCCGAAAGGCGUAGUCGAUGGGAAACAGGUUAAUAUUCCUGUACUUGGUGUUACUGCGAAGGGGGGACGGAGAAGGCUAUGUUAGCCGGGCGACGGUUGUCCCGGUUUAAGCAUGUAGGCUGAUUGUCCAGGCAAAUCCGGAUAAUCAAGGCUGAGGUGUGAUGACGAGGCACUACGGUGCUGAAGUAACAAAUGCCCUGCUUCCAGGAAAAGCCUCUAAGCAUCAGGUAACAUCAAAUCGUACCCCAAACCGACACAGGUGGUCAGGUAGAGAAUACCAAGGCGCUUGAGAGAACUCGGGUGAAGGAACUAGGCAAAAUGGUGCCGUAACUUCGGGAGAAGGCACGCUGGUGUGUAGGUGAAGCCCCUGCGGGUGGAGCUGAGACCAGUCGAAGAUACCAGCUGGCUGCAACUGUUUAUUAAAAACACAGCACUGUGCAAACACGAAAGUGGACGUAUACGGUGUGACGCCUGCCCGGUGCCGGAAGGUUAAUUGAUGGGGUUAUCCGUAAGGAGAAGCUCUUGAUCGAAGCCCCGGUAAACGGCGGCCGUAACUAUAACGGUCCUAAGGUAGCGAAAUUCCUUGUCGGGUAAGUUCCGACCUGCACGAAUGGCGUAAUGAUGGCCAGGCUGUCUCCACCCGAGACUCAGUGAAAUUGAACUCGCUGUGAAGAUGCAGUGUACCCGCGGCAAGACGGAAAGACCCCGUGAACCUUUACUAUAGCUUGACACUGAACAUUGAGCCUUGAUGUGUAGGAUAGGUGGGAGGCUUUGAAGCGUGGACGCCAGUCUGCGUGGAGCCAACCUUGAAAUACCACCCUUUAAUGUUUGAUGUUCUAACGUUGGCCCCUUACCGGGGUUGCGGACAGUGUCUGGUGGGUAGUUUGACUGGGGCGGUCUCCUCCCAAAGCGUAACGGAGGAGCACGAAGGUUAGCUAAUCCUGGUCGGACAUCAGGAGGUUAGUGCAAUGGCAUAAGCUAGCUUGACUGCGAGCGUGACGGCGCGAGCAGGUGCGAAAGCAGGUCAUAGUGAUCCGGUGGUUCUGAAUGGAAGGGCCAUCGCUCAACGGAUAAAAGGUACUCCGGGGAUAACAGGCUGAUACCGCCCAAGAGUUCAUAUCGACGGCGGUGUUUGGCACCUCGAUGUCGGCUCAUCACAUCCUGGGGCUGAAGUAGGUCCCAAGGGUAUGGCUGUUCGCCAUUUAAAGUGGUACGCGAGCUGGGUUUAGAACGUCGUGAGACAGUUCGGUCCCUAUCUGCCGUGGGCGCUGGAGAAUUGAGGGGGGCUGCUCCUAGUACGAGAGGACCGGAGUGGACGCAUCACUGGUGUUCGGGUUGUCAUGCCAAUGGCACUGCCCGGUAGCUAAAUGCGGAAGAGAUAAGUGCUGAAAGCAUCUAAGCACGAAACUUGCCCCGAGAUGAGUUCUCCCUGAGACUU